UCAGCCUAUCAGGAGGGGCCCUGGUGGGAGGGCCUGUUCAGGCAUGCAGCUGUGCACCGGCUCCGCUCUGCCGGUCCAGGUGGGCCCCAGGGCUUGGCUGGCUUGGCUCAGGCUGCAACCAGGUCUCCCAGCCCGCCACGGCCUGUUGCUGGCUGCUGCUGCUGCUGUCCGGGAGGGCGGCUGUGUUCUUUGGGAACUUCCUAAAUGAAAAGGAAGCAGCAGCAACAGGUGUGUCUGUGGACAUGUAGACUAGCAAAGGCAAGUUUUAUAUACAAAGCAAAUCACAGAUCUUGAGGGUACCAUUAGAUGUGUUCAGAAGAAAGACACAACUGGUCUGAAUCAAGGCCGGCAGCUUCCUGACGCUGUUGGUUUCAAGCAGGAGCCUAAAGAGAUGUCUUUCUAUGGUCUGUUGGCCAUUUCAGAACUUGGGCAGUGAAAUGAUCAAUUCAUCAGAAAGAAAUAGCUUGAAGCAACCCCUCCUGCCCUGGUGAGCGGCUGUGAGCCUGGCAAGCUGUGGUGGCCCAGCAUAGGAGCCACGAGUGUUUUCUGAGACCCGCACCACACUGGGACCUGGAGGGCCGGGAAACCAAGAAACCUGUUUUGUUUUAUUGAAUGUCAAUAUACAUGAAAGUAUGGACAGCUAUUUUGAAGAAAAUGAGACACUCUACAAAGGCCAUUAGUGACUUCCCUAUUGUCUGGUUUUGAAGACCUAAAACACCUUCCUCAUUCAGUUCAGAUCAUUUUUUUUACUAUGCUGUUUUGUAUGAAUUCUCUCUAUGUGAAGACAUGGACAACUAUUUGGAAGAAAACAAGAGACAAUAUGAUAGUAAAGAUCUCAGGUCAUCUAGCUUUGAAAUUUAUAUCUCUUCCUUUGCUUUCUUAUGUCCUAUUUUGUUCUGUUUUGUUGUGUUUAAUUUUACCCCCUUUAAAAUAAAAAUCAAAAAAAGACACA
Molecule: long non-coding RNA, 952 nt
Organism: Cavia porcellus (domestic guinea pig)
Lineage: Eukaryota; Metazoa; Chordata; Mammalia; Rodentia; Caviidae
Exons: 3
Source: RefSeq, a predicted model, not a curated record